RNAcentral lists this ribosomal RNA (1881 nucleotides) under human gut metagenome. Its description in RNAcentral is "bacterial LSU rRNA". It matches the Rfam family "Bacterial large subunit ribosomal RNA", at positions 1 to 1980 of the family's 2925-position model. The record is from RNAcentral.
UAAAGCUAAUAAGAGCGCAGGGCGGAUGCCUUGGCAUUGGGAACCGAAGAAGGACGUGGUUAACUGCGAAAAGCUGCGGCGAGUUGUAAGCGAACAAAGACCCGCAGAUAUCCGAAUGGAGCAAUCCAUAUGAGAGAAGCUCAUAUAUCAUAUACUGAAUACAUAGGUAUAUGAGGGGAACCUCCUGAACUGAAACAUCUAAGUAGGGAGAGGAAGAGAAAUCAACCGAGAUUUCGUAAGUAGUGGCGAGCGAAAGCGAAAGAGGCCAAACCGUAAUCAGCAAUGAAUACGGGGUUGCGGACUGCAAUUAGCAUUGUCAAAGCCUAGUUGAACAGGAUGGGAAGCCUGACCAAAGAAUGUGAGAGUCAUGUAAAUGAAAGGCAGAGACAGCGAGCAGGAUCCAGAGUACCGCGGGACACGUGAAACCCCGUGGGAAGCCGGGGGGACCACCCUCCAAGCCUAAAUAUUCCCCAAUGACCGAUAGCGAAGAGUACUGUGAAGGAAAGGUGAAAAGAACCCCGGGAGGGGAGUGAAAAAGAACCUGAAACCCUGUGCUUACAAGCACUGAGAGCACGUCAAAGUGUGAUCAGGUACCUUUUGUAGAAUGGUCCGGCGAGUUAUCAUAUGUAGCAAGGUUAAGGACUUAAGGUCUGAAGCCGAAGCGAGAGCGAGUCUUAACAGGGCGAGAAGUUACAUGUGAUAGACCCGAAACCGAGUGACCUAGCCAUGUCCAGGCUGAAGUGGAGGUAAAACUCCAUGGAGGGCCGAACCGACCCCCGUUGAAAAGGUGGCGGAUGAGGUGUGGCUAGCGGAGAAAUUCCAAUCGAACUCGGAUAUAGCUGGUUCUCCCCGAAAUAGCUUUAGGGCUAGCGUUGUGUUAGAUUACCGGAGGUAAAGCACUGAAUAGGCUAGGGGGCGAGAGUCUACCGACCCUUAUCAAACUCUGAAUGCCGGAUAAUUGAUGCACAGCAGUCAGACAGUGUGAGAUAAGUUUCAUUGUCAAAAGGGAAACAGCCCAGACCCACAGCUAAGGUCCCUAAUGUACGCUAAGUGGAAAACGAUGUGGAGUUGCGAAAACAACCAGGAUGUUGGCUUAGAAGCAGCCACUCAUUAAAAGAGUGCGUAAUAGCUCACUGGUCGAGUGACUCUGCGCGGAAAAUAUAACGGGGCUAAGCAUGCAACCGAAGCUUGGGAUUGUCAAAAGACAGUGGUAGGGGAGCGUCGUGUACGGGGUGAAGUCGCAUCGGAAGGAGCGGUGGACUGUACACGAGUGAGAAUGCCGGAAUGAGUAGCGAGAAUUAUGUGGGAAUCAUAAUGGCCGAAAAUCUAAGGUUUCUUGGGGAAGGUUCGUCCGCCCAAGGUAAGCCGGGAGCUAAGGCGAGGCCGCAAGGCGUAGUCGAUGCACAUACGGUAAAGAUUCCGUAGCCGCCGAACUUUAAGUCAGAGGGACACUUGCAGAUAGCGGAACCCAGCCGUUGGUUGAGCUGGGCGAAAGGGACUGAAUUUAGUAGGGAAGUCCGCGAUGCUGAAAGGCGAGAAAAGCUCUGAUGAAUACUAAGGCGCCCGUACCGCAAACCGACACAGGUAGAUGAGGAGAGAAUCCUAAGGCCAACGGGAGAAGGGUUGUUAAGGAACUCGGCAAAUUGACCCCGUAACUUCGGGAGAAGGGGUGCUCCAGAGAUGGAGCCGCAGAGAAUCGGCCCAAGCAACUGUUUACCAAAAACACAGGUUUGUGCUAAAUCGAAAGAUGACGUAUACGAGCUGACGCCUGCCCGGUGCUGGAAGGUUAAGAGGAGAUGUGCAAGCAUUGAAUCGAAGCCCCAGUGAACGGCGGCCGUAACUAUAACGGUCCUAAGGUAGCGAAAUUCCUUGUCAGGUAAG